AGUGAACGCUGGCGGUAGGCCUAACACAUGCAAGUCGAACGGCAGCACAGUAAUAGCUUGCUCUUACGGGUGUCGAGUGGCGGACGGUUGAGGAAUACAUCGGAAUCUACUUUUUCUUGGGUGAUAACGUAGGGAAACUUACGCUAAUACCGCAUACGACCUACUGUUGAAAUCAUUGGAUCUUCGGACCUUUCGCGUUUUAAUGAUCCGAUUUCGGAUUAGCUAGUUGGCGGGGUAAAGGCCCACCAAGGCGACGAUCCGUAGCUGGUCUGAGAGGAUGAUCAGCCACACUGGAACGGAGACACGGUCCAGACUCCUACGGGAGGCAGCAGUGGGGAAUAUUGGACAAUGGGCGCAAGCAUGAUCAAGCCAUACCGCGUGGGUGAAGAAGGACUUCGGGUUGUAAAGACCUUUUGUUGGGAAAGAAAAGCAGCAGGUUAAUACCCCGCUGUUCUGACGGUACCAAAAGAAUAAGCACCGGCUAACUUCGUG
RNAcentral lists this ribosomal RNA (492 nucleotides) under uncultured bacterium. Its description in RNAcentral is "partial 16S ribosomal RNA". It matches the Rfam family "Bacterial small subunit ribosomal RNA", at positions 29 to 507 of the family's 1533-position model. The record is from RNAcentral.